RNAcentral lists this ribosomal RNA (783 nucleotides) under Psychrobacter sp. RKEM 535. RNAcentral's name for it is "bacterial SSU rRNA". It matches the Rfam family "Bacterial small subunit ribosomal RNA", at positions 90 to 870 of the family's 1533-position model. The record is from RNAcentral. Lineage: Bacteria; Pseudomonadati; Pseudomonadota; Gammaproteobacteria; Moraxellales; Moraxellaceae.
GUCGAGCGGCGGACGGGUGAGUAACACUUAGGAAUYUACYUAGUAGUGGGGGAUAGCUCGGGGGAAACUCGAAUUAAUACCGCAUACGACCUACGGGAGAAAGGGGGCAGUUUACUGCUCUCGCUAUUAGAUGAGCCUAAGUCGGAUUAGCUAGAUGGUGGGGUAAAGGCCUACCAUGGCGACGAUCUGUAGCUGGUCUGAGAGGAUGAUCAGCCACACCGGGACUGAGACACGGCCCGGACUCCUACGGGAGGCAGCAGUGGGGAAUAUUGGACAAUGGGGGAAACCCUGAUCCAGCCAUGCCGCGUGUGUGAAGAAGGCCUUUUGGUUGUAAAGCACUUUAAGCAGUGAAGAAGACCAUAUGGUUAAUACCCAUAUGCGAUGACAUUAGCUGCAGAAUAAGCACCGGCUAACUCUGUGCCAGCAGCCGCGGUAAUACAGAGGGUGCAAGCGUUAAUCGGAAUUACUGGGCGUAAAGCGAGCGUAGGUGGCUUGAUAAGUCAGAUGUGAAAUCCCCGGGCUUAACCUGGGAACUGCAUCUGAUACUGUUAAGCUAGAGUAGGUGAGAGGGAAGUAGAAUUCCAGGUGUAGCGGUGAAAUGCGUAGAGAUCUGGAGGAAUACCGAUGGCGAAGGCAGCUUCCUGGCAUCAUACUGACACUGAGGCUCGAAAGCGUGGGUAGCAAACAGGAUUAGAUACCCUGGUAGUCCACGCCGUAAACGAUGUCUACUAGUCGUUGGGUCCCUUGAGGACUUAGUGACGCAGCUAACGCAAUAAGUAGACC